RNAcentral lists this long non-coding RNA (5610 nucleotides) under Sus scrofa (pig). RNAcentral's name for it is "lncRNA (ENSSSCG00045031284.1)". Lineage: Eukaryota; Metazoa; Chordata; Mammalia; Artiodactyla; Suidae. The record is from RNAcentral.
CAGCAUGUGGAAGUUCCCAGGCUAGGGAUGGAAUUGGAGCUACAGCUGCCAGCCUAGCCCACAGCCACAGCAAUGAGAAUAGGGAAUUUUCAGGUCCUGGGUACUCUGAGUAGGAUGGCACAGACUCGCGGUGGACACAUCUCUGUUGGUCCUGCAGAUUCUUUGCCUUGAGGGGAGGGGACCCCUGGAGGGGUCUAGGACAGGGCCCUCUUGCCUGGUGUAAGAAUGAUGCAGAGUGGUGAGGAGCUCCCAGUGGCUGGAACGUUGUCACAUCAGCUGAUUCCGUGAUGAGAAAUGACAGAAACAGUGGCCCUGAAUUCUUACCUUUGGUCUUUAUGAGCAGAAACAUCAGAGGAGACCUGGGAAAUGGACCACCGCUCUCUUUAAUCGCCACAUUCACACAGGAGCUGGUCACAUCUGAGUCAAUGUGUGGGACCUGGCCUUUCCACCCAGUAAAAGUGAGAAGCUAGAAAUUAAUAGGACCUAAGCUAUACACUUCUCAGGUUGUCAGAGUUCGGGGGAGAGACAAGCCACUUGGGAACGAGUCGGUUUCUUUCUGGAAACCACCCCAUUGCUCCGGGGAUGUAAGUCUUUCUAAGUAGAGAUGUCAUUUCCUUGUUUUUUCAUAGAACGGUCAAAACUUGCGUAAAGUAAGGGAUGAUCCAGACUUUUAGGACUCUGAUAUUGUACAGCAGGGGGCGCAGAAGAGCUUAAAAAAACCUUUCUGAGGCUCCUCUACACACUUCAAUCCUAACUCCCUGGUCCCAGUUAAAGGCUCCCUCAGGUCUGACCCUUUUGAGUAGAUGACUAAGUUUCAUAUUUCAAUUUGCUUAUAGGAAAAAACAACACACACACACACAUACUGCCAUUUCCUGACUGCAAGCACAAGUAUGAAGCCUUCCAUUUGCCUCGGGCCCCACAAGACCGUAUUUUCAACCCCUCCCCCAGGUAAAAAGAGCCUUUUAGAUCAUCCUUGAAAUGUGACCCAAUUUGUACUCUCCUCAUUUCUUUCCCUUCAUAGUGUUUUUAGAAUUUCUUCCUCUGUCCCAAAUUCCUGAAGGGUAACCCCAGGAACUCUCUGGUUCUACUGUGAAUAAUGCCGUGCUCUUUAUCAUCACAGCUUUGCGGGGUGAACCUGUGCUCUGUUCUUGGGCUCCAGACCGUUUGCCUUUCCCAGUGGGUUCUGGAACUCAAUUGCCUGGGAUUAACUCUGUUUCUCCUGCUGGUAAACCGUAUGAACUUGAGUACCUUAUCUAACUUACCCAUAAGUGGAGUCUAUUCCUCCACCCUCUUGGAUCUGGGCUGAGCUGUGACUGCUUCGAGAUUCCACCUCACCACCGACUACGACUGCAUGAGAGGCCCCCUCAGCUGACCCCAGUCAAACCACAGAACAUAUGAAAUAAUAAUAAAUAUUUCUUUUUGUCUUUUUUAGGGCCGCACCUGCGGCAUCUGGAGGUUCCCAGGUAAGGGGUUGAAUUGGAGCUACAGCUGCCGGCCUACGCCACAGCCACAGCAACACAGGAUCCGAGUCUUGUCUGCAACCUACACCACAGCUCAUGGCAAAACCAGAUCCUUAACCCACUGAGCAAGGCCAGGGGUGGAACCGUCAUCCUCACGGAUACUAGUCAGAUUUGUUAACUCCUGAGCCACGAUGGGAACUCCGUAUAAAUGGUUGUUUUUUUUUUAAAUUGAAGUAUAGUCAAUUUGCAAUACUGCAUUAGUUUCAGGUUAUAGCAAAGUUUUUGAUAUAUAUAUAUAUAUACACACAUAUGUAUUUCAAAUUAUUUUCCAUUAUAGGUUAUUACAAGAUACUGAAUAUUGUUCCCUGUGUUACACAGUAAAUCCUUGCUGCUUAUCUGCCUUAUGUAUAGUAGUCUCUGUUAGUCCCAUACUCCUAAUUUAUCCCUUCCCUUUUCCCUUUGGUAACCAUAAGUUUGUUUUCUAUAUCUGUGAGUCUGUUUUUGUCUUGUCUAUAGAUUUAUUUGUAUCAUUUUUUUAGACUCCACGUAUAAGUGAUAUACGAUGGUUGUCUUUGUCUGGCUUACCUCACUUGUAUGACAAUCUUUAGGUUUAUCCAUGUUGCUGCUAAUGGCAUUCUUUCAUUCUUUCUUAUGGCUGAGUAAUAUUUCACACCCCACAUCUUCCUUAUUUAUUCAUCUGUUGAUGGUCAUUUGGGUUGUUUCCAUGUCUUGGCCAUAAUAAAUGCUUGUAUUAAGUCACUAAGGUUUGUGGCACUGUGCAGCAAAAGAUAACCACACUGAACUGGGGAUGACAAUACUUACGUCUACCUCACAGGAUAGAUUUGAGGAUUAAAUGAGUUAAGAUUUGUUAGAGGCUUAGAAUAGUGCCUGGCAACACUAACUGCCAUAUAAAAACACACUGAAUGAAAAGUGAAUGGCCUGGGACCCUGAGGGUAUUAGAGUCUUAAACUAAUAAACACUCAUUUUGAGGAAAGCACAAUAGUUACUAUCCCUGUCCCAGGUCUUCUAAAAAGUACCUUAGUCAGUGUAAAGUCAGUUGUUGAUCACAAAAACAGUAUUUUAAAAACCCAAAGGCUCAGUGUUGGUCCCGUCUCUCUGAAUCUGGGGAAGGGCCUAGCCUUCCUCAUGGCUCCAUAUCCACAGCUUUCAAAUAAAAAGUCACUGCCCCCACAACAGAGCUGCUGUCAGGGACAAGGAUGAAAGUGGUUAUGAAAGGGCUUUGAAGAACAUAGAUCCUUUAGCCUUUCCUGAGACACCUCAUGUCUGACCCUCCGUUGGUGUCUAUCAGACACUGAGGUCUGUGCUUCCUUAAAUUAAACCCAGGGCCCAUAGCUCUCGGCUACAACCAGUCUCUCACCAAUACCAGAUCCAUACCUGAAGCCAGUCCCCUCUUCUGAAUUUCUGAUCCGUGUAUCUAGUUGUCUGCUGGCAACUCCAUCCUUCCAAUCGCUCAGGCCCAAAGCUUGGACUCAUCCUUCAUUCUUCUGUUUUCCUCACCUCCCGGGGCCUAAACCAUCUGCAAAUCCUAUCAGAUCUAUUUUCAAAGUACACCAGUAUGUCAGCUGGACCAUAGGGGCCUCCUGGUGGAAGAACAUAACCUAACCUAGGAAGUUGUCUUGCUACUUUCUAGACUGUAAGAAACUCUUCAGGACCUAAUGUCUUCAAAAAUAAGCUGCAAAGAGGAAAAAAAAAAAAAAAGAGGGAGNAGAGAGAGAGAGAGAUGAGGGAAUCUAUAGAUUAAAAGACACGUAGCUGUAUCAGCCAAUUGUUGUAUGCGACCUUAUUUGGAUUCAGAUUCAAACUGUAAAAAAGAUUAUGACAAUUAUAAGACAAUCAGAAAUUUUAAUGGAUGUAUUUGAUACUAUUAAGGAAUAUUAGUUUUAUAGGUGUGAUAAUGGUAUGAUAAUAAAAAAAUGCUUAUCUUUUUAAAAAAUACAUUCUGAAAUAUUUACAGAUGGCAUGGUAUGAUUUCUGGGAUCAGCUUCAAAAUAAUACAGUACAGAGGGGAAGGAGGUGAAGGUCCAGAUAAAACAAAAUUGUUGCACAGCAGAAAUUAACACUAUAAAUCAACUAUACUUCAAUAAAAUAAAAAAAAAGUUAAAACAAACACAAAAACCCCAAAUUGGCUACGAACGGUGGAUUGUUGAAGUUGCAUAAUGGACAGGUAUACUGGGGUCCACCAUACUACUUUUUUCUUAAUUUUAUUGGCGUAUAGUUGACUUACAACAGUGUAUCAGUUUCAGGUGUACAGCAAAAUGAAUUAGGAAUACAUACUCUACCUUUGCAUGUGUGAAAAUUUUAAUGAAGGUUAAAAAAUAUUUAUCUGGAAUGUGACCUAGUCUUACUGUUUUUAUUAUGCCCACUCUUGUCCAAGCCACUGUCGUCUCUCACCUGUAGUGCCACAGCCCCUCUCUGAUCUCCCCACUGCCACCCUUGCCUCGUGCUGCAGUCUCUUCACCACGCUGCAGUGAGAGUGAUCCUUUAAACUCAUCUAGCGGUUUCCUCUCUGCUUAAGCCCUGCAAUGGAUUUUCAUCUUGCUUGGACCUGUGCUACAUCUCUCUGAUAGCAUCUCCUAACUCUCAGUCCCUCAUGGGCUCCCCUCACUCAGCCAUAGCCCUUCUGCUCUCAGGGUAAAGGUUCAAACUCUUUGGCCAGGCACAUGAAGCCCUGGUGAUGUGUCCUUAGCACACCUCUCCUGACUCACCACCCCAAACCCCAAACCUACACUCACUCAUGGCUUCUUUAUUUUAGACACUGCUACUUCGACCUGCCCCCACAGGGAAGGCCAGGCUCUGCCAGCACUAGCUCAGUGCCAACUCUCUCCACUUUGGUUCUGAGCCCCUAGGAGUUUGGGACUUAUUUUGAAACUGUCUAUUGCUUCCUUCCCUGGACUCAAGUUCCCUGAAGUCAAAGGUGACCUCUUAUAUCUCUCCAGCCAUAGCCUUGACAAAUGCCCAACACUCAAAAUUAAGCAUAUUUUCAAUAAAUGAAUUAAAAUUCUAAGUUAGCAUUGUUACUAAAUUUUAAAUCUCUGUAAAGUGUAACAUAAUGAAAAUACCCCUAUAAUUACACAGAAGUCAUCACUUUAAAAAUUAUUGAAAAAGAUGCUUUCGACUUAGUAAAAUAUUCUAAAUCAAAUUACUUGCUAUCUUAGAUACCAAGAACGAAGUAAUAAAAAUGUAAUCCCAUUUCUGUUAUAACCAGGUCUUCCAUUAGUUGCCUAAAUUUGGAGCAUUUAGUUUUAAAAAUAGCACACCAAGUCAACUUGCCUGGUCCCCCAUCAUCUUGCUUGAAGAAUCAGGAUCCAGGGUGCAAACUAGGGAGAAAGGAAGGGGCAAAAAGGGGUUAGAUUAAUAGACGGUAAGGAUGGGGGUGGUGGUGAGAAAUUCUCAGAUACAGAGGAACUUGAAAUGGAAAAAUUGUUGCCCCUGCAAAGAGGAACCAAUGCAGACAGGGGGCGGGGAACCAAAUCGAUCAACAAGGGAUGAGAAAAGAGGAAGGUCAGCGAUAGGAAUGAAAAGACCUGACGUCAUUAAAAGAAUAGGUACAAGCAGGGCUGCUCUGCAUGAUUUUUGUCUUCCAUCCAGCUAGUGUCUCAAUUGUUACAAAUUCUUUCUGUUGUCUUGAUAAUUAGUUUUGGCAUAUAGCAGUUUGGGAGAAUUUGGUUUGGGGUGCCCUUCAAAAUAAAAUUGAUGCUAUGGGCCAGCCAUGCGGACUGGAAAUCUGAGUUGUUUUCCCUGCACUGGUGAUGGAUUGAGCUGCUUGAGCCACCAGCCCUCCCUUUCACACUACCCUUUGUGACCAACUCUAUGGUCUGGGAUGACAAUUUUCUUUUCUCUCUACAUGAAAAACGACUCGUUUCUAGUAGCAUUAAAUUAUGAUUUCAUUCCAUAUUUUUAAAAAAGUGGACAAACUCUUACAAGCUGACUUCAUAGGGCAAUAUCCCAAAAUAUAAGAAAAAACCAAAUGCCCAAAGUAUUGAGGCCUCAGUGAAUCAGUGUUGAGUCUAGGGAUGCUGAGCCUAACACGGCUGCCUUACAGCUGUCACUGUAACAACUACCAUUACAAGCUGCACUGCUUUGUUGGGUCUCUUUUUCUCACUCUCCAUUCAGUUCAGUUCACAUUAUG